GAUGAACGCUGGCGGCGUGCCUAAUACAUGCCAGUCGAGCGAACGGACGAGAAUCUUGCUUCUCUGAUGUUAGCGGCGGACGGGUGAGUAACACGUGGAUAACCUACCUAUAAUACUGGGAUAACUUCGGGAAACCGGAGCUAAUACCGGAUAAUAUUUUGAACCGCAUGGUUCAAAAGUGAAAGACGGUCUUGCUGUCACUUAUAGAUGGAUCCGCUCUGCAUUAGCUAGUUGGUAAGGUAACGGCUUACCGAGGCAACGAUGCAUAGCCGACCUGAGAGGGUGAUAGGCAACACUGGAACUGAGACACGGUCCAGAGUACUACGGGAGGCAGCAGUAGGGAAUGUUCCGCAAUGGGCGAAAGCAUGACGGAGCAACGCCGCGUGAGUGAUGAAGGUCUUCGGAUCGUAAAACUCUGUUAUUAGGGAAGAAAAUAUGUGUAAGUAACUGUGGACAUCUUGACGGUACCUAAUCAGAAAGCAACGGCUAACUACGUG
RNAcentral lists this ribosomal RNA (497 nucleotides) under uncultured bacterium. RNAcentral's name for it is "partial 16S ribosomal RNA". It matches the Rfam family "Bacterial small subunit ribosomal RNA", at positions 28 to 507 of the family's 1533-position model. The record is from RNAcentral.